RNAcentral lists this ribosomal RNA (390 nucleotides) under Triticum aestivum (bread wheat). RNAcentral's name for it is "partial small subunit ribosomal RNA". Lineage: Eukaryota; Viridiplantae; Streptophyta; Magnoliopsida; Poales; Poaceae. The record is from RNAcentral.
AAUGCCAGUGUCAGAGAUCAAUAUCCAGCCUUGUACUGCAUUGCUCACGAUAAGAAUAAUACUAUUGCGUAGUUGCUUAGUUCAUUCCCACCAAAUAUUUCGUUCAGGAGAGACUUGAUUGGGCCCUAGCUUAUGUCAUGGCAAAAUCUCUUCUCCCGACUGUAUUCGAUCAACCUGACACAAGGCCAGAAUGUGUUUCGCUGGAACCUUCCUACGUCAGGGUUUCUCACAAUAGACCCUAUGUAUCAUGCGCUCACGAAUUCUGAGGUCCCAGUGAAUAAUAAGAAGAAAAUUUGGAAGUCUAAGACUCUACUAAAAGAUAAAACCUUUAUGUGGUAUGUUCGCACGGGAGUUGUGCUAACCAAAGACAACCUCGCACGAUGCAACUAG